RNAcentral lists this long non-coding RNA (1785 nucleotides) under Homo sapiens (human). RNAcentral's name for it is "maternally expressed 8, small nucleolar RNA host gene". The stretch from base 1551 to 1622 matches the Rfam family "Small nucleolar RNA SNORD113/SNORD114 family". Lineage: Eukaryota; Metazoa; Chordata; Mammalia; Primates; Hominidae. The record is from RNAcentral.
ACUAAGGAUGAUACAGGUGGUAGUUAUAGAUAAUGGUCAACCUCUGGGUCAAGGAAAGUUGCACAAAGUGUUCAUUUUCUUAAGAGAAAAUGAAAUAAUUAUCCUUCAGAUAGUGAUUUCUCAAAUGUUUUCCUAAAGGGAAGAUGAUAAACACAGAUCAUGGAGGACUGUUUUAUCUGUUUGUGAUCUGCCGUCCUCUGUGAGCCUCAGGAUGGAUGUUUGCCAGCCGAUUCCAUGGUUACAAGCUCUAUAGCUGCAUCUAUGUGUUAGGAGCAUGAAGACCAAUAAUGGAUGCACUGAGCUGAUUAUGAAUUUAGCCCUGAUGAAGACUUGUGUUGCUGUCAUGAUAUGAAAGAUUCCAGUAAUGAACGCACUUGAGUUGAUUCAAGCACGCUUCCAUGGUCAUGAGCUCUGUGGUUGCAUCUGUGUGUUAGGAGCAUGCAGACCAAUAGUGAUAAUCUCGAGGUGAUUUAUGCAUUCUUCCAUGGCCACCAGCCUUAUGAUUGCAUCUGUGCGUCACAGCUUAGAGAUCAAUAAUGGAUGCAACAAGCUCUUUGAAUCAUUCUGUUGGGAUCAAGAUUGUUGUGUUCCCUCUGUUUGGAAAGAGACCAAGAAUGGAUACGCUCAGGUGAUUUAAGCAGUCUUCCAUGGCCACGAGCUCUGUGGUUGCCUCUGUAUAUUAAGAGCACAGAGAUUAAAAAUGGGUGCACUUGAGCCGAUUGAAACAUUCCUCCUUGCAUCUUUCUUCUGUGAUUGCAUCUAUUUGUUAGUAGCAUAGAGACCAAUAAUAGAUGGCUUGUGCUGAUGGAAGGAUUCCUCCCUGGUGACAUGCUGUGUCUGCCUCUUGAUUGGGAGCACGCAGACCUACAAUGAUGCACUUUUUAUGAUUUGAGAAUUCCUUCAUGGUCACGUGCUCUGUUUUUAUCAUGGUUGGGAGCCUGCAGAGCAAUAAGGGACAUGCCUUUGCUGAUUUGAGGAUUCCUCUGAGGUUGGGAGCUAAGUUUGCAUCAUGCUUAGAAAGGAGUGUGCAGACCUGUAAUGAUUGCACUUUGCUGAUUGAAGGAUUCCUUCAAGUCCAUGUGCUCCACUUGCACCAUUUUUAGGAUGGAGCCUGGAGACCUAUAAUGAACAACUUGUGCUGUGUUAAGGAUUCCUCCAUGAUCACGCGCCCCAUUUGUACACCAUGCUUGGGAAGGUGCAUGCAGACCAAUGUUAGUAAUAGUCAAAAUUCCUGUGUCGGUUUGUGUGGUUUGCUAAACAGGACUCAAUGUAUCAUGAAACAGUGUAUUAUAUAGUCAACUAUGGUCAACUAUGUCCCAGUGAUAUUUAUGAGAGGGAUCUGAAGUAUUUAUUGAUAAUGCAUAUAUGAAAAACGGAGAAGAAUUAAUGAAACAGAUAUAUCUGUGUUAGAAUGAUUCUGUAUAAAGAUAGGGAAUAUCAAGUCUGUUCUUAGUGUUUUGUGAAUCACAGAGUGUAAAAUUAUUCCCAGUGAAUUAAUGAAUAAAUUUAAAGACAACAUAGAAAUGAAUGCAGAAAAAGAGGGUCAACCCUGGAUCGAUGAUGAGCACUGGUGGAGUAUGAGUCACAUACGAUGAAUACGUGUCUGGAACUCUGAGGUCCAUCGCAGAAGUCAGUUUCCUCUGUUUCAACUAACUCUGUAGAUAGAUGACAAGAAUAGAGAAUGAAUUUUUUUUGUUUAUGAGUUUUUAUUUUAUAAUUGGUUCAAUGAAAGAAUAAAACAUAUAUGAAUAAAUAAAUAAGUUAUGCAUUGUCCAAUUAUAAAAA